Molecule: long non-coding RNA, 1379 nt
Filed under: Pan troglodytes (chimpanzee)
Lineage: Eukaryota; Metazoa; Chordata; Mammalia; Primates; Hominidae
Description: lncRNA (ENSPTRG00000053110.1)
Source: RNAcentral
GGAUGUUCCCCAAUCAAGGCUGCUCGGUGGGUUUCAGAAAUGGGAACACCCGUCCCUUCAAGCAUCCAUAGCGUGUGAACUGUAGGACUGUAGGGUGAAGGUCAUCCCAGAGCUCAGCAUUGAAACCAGCCGGAAAUUGUUCAGUUGGGGGAACUAGGGGAAAGGGAACAGUGAUGUGAAGGGCAGAGGCAGUGGUGGGAAGCCUGUGUGUGGCCGACGCAUGCUUUUACGCUGUCAUCACGGCCUUGCUUUCUAUAGCAGGGAUCUGAGAAGCAGGCAGGCAGCUGCUCUGCCUGAGACUGUCAGGAGUUGGUGGAUAUGAAUCCAUGUCUGAAGCCCAAGCUCUCGCUACUCUGCUGUCUCCCUGAGGGGUGCAUGAAGGCCCCAGCCCAGUCAGUGACACAGAGGUUGGGAAGACCAGGGCAUGAAGCUUCUGUGCUUGGAGAACAGGAGGGCUUGUGGAGCUGUGGUUGAUGGCGUGUCCAGGAAGCCUGGCCAGGGUGAGUAACAGGCCUUGUAUGUCAGGCUAAGAAAGUUGCCCUUGACAGUGCGGGACGUGGGGAGCCAUGGGCAGGUUUUCAGCAAGGACAUAAAGAGAUCAAUUCCAGGCUUUGGAGAGAGCACCAGGGUGCUGGGUGCAGGGAUAGGAGUUGGGGUGGGUACUGAGGGUGCCAGCCAUGAGGACAAUGGUGGCACCUGGAAGCAUGCAUCCCCAGGCUGUGGUGAGCAGCCCCGGGUGCCAGGCACUGGGCUGGGCACUGAAUCCCCCUUACCACACUGACCUGCACUACUGAGCUAUGGAGCUGGGGGUUGUCACACCAUCUGACGAAUAGGGAAAUGCAGGCUCCAGGUUCUGAGAGCAGGUGGAGUAAAGCACAUCCGCUGGGGGUGGCCCUGUGUGCCUGGCUCUGCGUCAGGCACUCGGGCCAUAGAGCCUCACCCAGUCUCAGAGGACACCGUGGCCUGUCUGCUGCUGCCCCUGGUGCUUCCUGGCAUCACUGGCUGGAAAGGAGGCUUUGGGGCCUCUGCACAUUUUCACCACCCCCCCAUCCUCUAAUACCUCUUUCCUCCUCCAUGGCUGGGCCUGGAGGAUCUUUGUUUCCAGCUGGGGUCUGGCAACAGCCUCACCACGAUGGCAUGGCGGUGGGCCCGGCCUCUACCCGCUGCGCCACAGCUCCUGGCUCCUGGCUCCAGGUCAUCUCUGCCCACAGCCAGCGUCUCUGAGCAGCCUUGAUUGGGAGGCGUCCUGUGCCCAUCUCGUGCCCCCCGUCCUUCUCCUGCGUCCGGGUUCUGGUUCUGCCGCCUCCUCCGCACGCUGCUCACCAGCCUGCUAAGUGGAUGUGAAUAAACAAUCAUGCAGGGUUUGGUGCAUUCUUUCC